UUGACCUCGGAUCAGGUAGGAAUACCCGCUGAACUUAAGCAUACUAGA
This 48-nucleotide ribosomal RNA is filed under the name Trichoderma harzianum. RNAcentral's name for it is "partial 28S ribosomal RNA". Lineage: Eukaryota; Fungi; Ascomycota; Sordariomycetes; Hypocreales; Hypocreaceae. The record is from RNAcentral.